RNAcentral lists this ribosomal RNA (408 nucleotides) under uncultured bacterium. Its description in RNAcentral is "bacterial SSU rRNA". It matches the Rfam family "Bacterial small subunit ribosomal RNA", at positions 1014 to 1421 of the family's 1533-position model. The record is from RNAcentral.
GUGCCGAAAGGAACCUCAAGACAGGUGCUGCAUGGCUGUCGUCCCCUCGUGUUGUGAGAUGUUGGGUUAAGUCCCGUAACGAGCGCAACCCUUAUCCUUAGUUGCCAACAUGUAAUGGUGGGGACUCUAAGGAGACUGCUGGUGAAGAACCGGAGGAAGGCGGGGACGACGUCAAGUCAUCAUGGCCUUUAUGGGUAGGGCCACACACGUGCUACAAUGGGCAGUACAGAGGGUCGCCAACCCGCAAGGGGGAGCCAAUCCCGCAAAGCUGCUCGUAGUCCGGAUUGAAGUCUGCAACUCGACUUCAUGAAGUUGGAAUCGCUAGUAAUCGCGAAUCAGAAUGUCGCGGUGAAUACGUUCCCGGGCCUUGUACACACCGCCCGUCACACCAUGGGAGUGGGUUGUACC